Molecule: long non-coding RNA, 212 nt
Filed under: Elaeis guineensis (African oil palm)
Lineage: Eukaryota; Viridiplantae; Streptophyta; Magnoliopsida; Arecales; Arecaceae
Description: long non-coding RNA (EGUI_LNC010804)
Source: RNAcentral
CAAUGGACGAACUCCCUUCCUCAGCUUCCUGUCGUAUAGUGACUAGGUGCAGUUAAAGGUGCAAAUAGAUCGGAUCGGAUCGGAUUACGAGUGAUCUCGAUCCUAUCCGGUUCUUUGAAUUGGACCCAAAACUAGUCUAAUAGAAAAUCGAGUCAGGUCAGGUUGGGUCCAGGAUCAAUUUUUUUGACCCAAUAGGUCAUUCAGGUUGGAUU